CUUGAGGAUUCUUAUUUGUUCUGGAGUAGGAAUCCACCUGGUACGGCUUCGCCAGAAAUCCAUGUUGGCACUACUUCCAGCUGCUUGGGUGUUUCCUCCCUCCUCUGUUGGUUGCUGUUGUUGUGGUUCCAUUUGUUGCGGGGUUUGGAGCUCCAUUAGUUGCAGAGUUCGUGGCUCUUGGGUCAUGGGGUGAGAGGAUGUGGAAAUCGAGGAAUACAUGGUUUAGUGUUUGAGGGAGAUUUUGUUAGAAGGAUUGGAGUUGUUGAACUGGUGAUUGGAGAUCUGAGAUUCUCAGAGGAAAGAUGAGAUCGAAUCUUCAAAGGGAAGAAAAGAUCUGAGAAAGAAGGAUUAAGGAUUUGGAGGAAAAGAUUGAAGAUCUGAGAGUGAAAAACUGGGGAUUUGAGAAGAGAAAGGCUGAAGAGUUGAGAGAGAAAGGCUUGAGCUCGGAAGAAAAUUUCUUUUCUUUUGGAGUGAACAGUUUUUCCCCAGAAUGCACCUAUUUAUAGAACAAGGUGAGCAGAUCUCCACCGUUGGAUGAACGAUCUCAGAAUUUGAAUCCACGCGUUGGAUUAAAGUCAUCCGAAAACCCGGAAAAGUUGUUGGCGCGUGGAGAGCGUGUAAGGGGACAGGCCGAACCUCGAGAUGCUGUGGCAGACAGCUUUAGCCGAAAGCAGAUUUGACUGCCGUAAAUCACGGAAGGGAUAAGCCGUGACACAAGUGGGCCGUACUUGGGCCUGUCUCGGAUCAAGGCAUCACUGUAGCUGUGGGUGGAGGCCUGAUGGGCCGAGUUUCAGAAACAGUUUUGGACAUGAUGGGCCGAGUUUCUGAAACAGUUUUGGAUGAGUUGGGCCGAAUUGUUGAAACAGUUGAAACAGUUGGUUUAAAUAAAAGGAUUGGUAUGGAUAAUAACGUGAGCAGCCGUGCUCGAGUGGUUGAGUGUACAGUUCGUGUACAAGAGGUCUGAGGUUCGAACCUCGCCUCUCGUUUAUUUUUAUUAUGUUCGUUUAUGACAUAAUAAGUAUAAAAUUUGUACACAUUAUAUUAAGCACAGCUUGUGCUCCAGUGGUUGGGGGACAAAGGUUUCGUGCGGCAGGUUGAGGUUUCGAACCUUGCCUUCCCCGUUAUUUUAUUUAUGUCACUUAUGACAUAAUAAAUAUAACACGUGAGCAUAUAUUAAUGAAGGCAGCUCUUGCUUCAGUGGUUGGGAGCAAAACCUUCGUGUUCGAGGUCGGGAGUUCGAACCUUACCUCUUACAAAUAUUUUUGGAUCUCGUAUAUGCUUGAUAUACGGACGUAUAUACGGUAUGUACGGUAUACAUAAGUAUAUACGGUCUGUACGGUAUGCAUACGUAUAUACAGUUGUACGGUAUGCAUACGUAUAUACGGUCUGUAUGGUAUGUAUACGUAUAUACGGUAUGUACAAUUUCAUACCGUAGCCGAGCUGGAAGUUGGUGGGCCGAUUGGUAGGCCCAAAUAGUAAGCCCAAAUAGUAAGCCCAAAUGGUAGGCCCAAAUGGUAAGCCCAAUUGUUCGGCCCGAAUAGUAGGCCCAAAUGUUAAACCCAAAGUGGUUUGGGCCGGUUCGAAAUGUGGAUGGUCCGAUUUCUUCAGGCCCAAUUGGCCAGCCCUAGUGCUUAGCCCAAGGAUUGAGCAAGCCCAAGUCAUCAUCAUUGGGUGACAUAAUUUAUUGGCGUGCUUUUGGGGAUGAUUUGUUUUGAGUGAUGCAUCUCUAUGGUUGUGAAGAGUGGUGCAUGCUUAAGUUUUACUAUGGAGAUUUACCGUGAUGCUAAUUGAGUAGCGAAACACUUUGUGGGAGUGAUUACUGUGCUUGUAUGCCAGUACAGAGUGAUGAUCUAUGUGAAGAUCUAUGUGAUGAUCUAUGUGAAGAUCUAUGUGAUGAUCUAUGUGAAGAUCUAUGUGAAGAUCUAUGUGAGGAUCUAUGAGAUGAUCCAUGUGAUGAUUUUGUGUAAUUGAUGUGGAGUGAUGUUGAGCAGUUGUUUUGUGAAUUUACAUUGUGAUGAAAGGAUUUAGUGGCCAUAGAAAUGUAUUUUUAUACAAAGGGCUGAGGCUUUGUAGAUUACUACAGAUUUGGAAAAGAUGGAGAUUCUAUGGUUAGGUCAACCUUAAUCGAGAGGAAUUGACUUACGCUCAAAUUUCGGGACGAAAUUUCUUUAAGGAGGGUAGAUUGUAAUACCCGCAAUUUUCAUUUUCGUUUCAUGAAUUAGUACGAAAUGAUUAAAGUGAUUUUGCACGAAUAUUACUCUAAUUAAUUCAUCUUUUUGAAUUAUCGAAGUCCCGAAACUUUUCUUUUUAACAAAAGCUCGGAUUGUGCGAUUCAAGAAAAAUCGACUUUUCUACGUACGGAAUUUUGGAAAACUUCCUUCAUGAAAGUUGUAGAGCUCGUCGAUACGAUCGCGUGCAUAUGUGGAAUGCAAUUUUCGGAGCUCGUAUGAUUAAGUUACGAUUAUUUGAAAUUAGGGAUUCUUUUUGAAAUAGAAAAUUAUAUUUUCUUCUUUCUUUUUUCUUUUCCUUUCCCUUUCCCCGGUCCCUCCUCUUUCUUUUCUUUCUUUUCCUUUUCUCCCCAUGGUGCGCACUACCUCUCACUCUCUCAUCCAUCAGUUCAUGCAACACUAGAAUAAUAUCCAAUAUUUAUUACUUGGUAUUUGAUUUUGAGUUAGUGGGUGUCGGUGGCAAUCAUCCUUUCAUCACUUUUCUGCUUCUUCUUCUUGGAUUCCAUGGGGGCAGCAGCAACAAGCAGCCCAUUAGGCGUUGUCUACCGCAGAAUAAAGAAAGAGAAGAGCAAAGAGUCUUUGCUUUAAUUGCGAUGAGACUUACCCAGAAGGUCACUUUUGCAAGAAAACAAUUAUGGCCAUUCUUGAGGCACCGGCACCACUCGAUACAGAUCGCACUACCACCUUCCUGUCUUCUCUUCCUUCUCCAUUCUCUUCUCUCUCCACUGAGAUUGCUUGCUCGGUCUAGUCGGCCACCGAGUUGACUCACUUCCUCGUCCUCCAGAGCAAGGAGCUCCAGUCCGUGCUCGAAGGAUCCGAUUCGAAGUUCGUCGACCUGUUUGUAAAAGAUUUGAGGUUUUGGUGUUUGAGAAGGGUUUGAGUACUGUGGGUGAGUGAGGGACAGUUCAGAGGUCCAAUCCAGUUAUAGAGUAAUGCUUUGGCUGCUUUGGAAGCUAUUGAUUUGGAUGUGGCUGAGGAGUUCUGCAUUUUUGGGAGGACUUCGGAUCUGUGGAGUUGAGAAAUGAGAGUGAGGGAGUGAGAGUUCGGUGGAGCUUGCAGAUUUUGAUGUUAAUGUGAUGAUGAUGUAGGUGAUGAUGAUGAUGAUGUGGGUGGUGAUGAUGGUAAUAAUGUAAAUGGAUGCUACCCUUGUGCUGCCGGAAUUGGAUGCAAACUCAUUUUGGCAUGAUGACAGAUUGAGUUACAUGAGCAUGAGGGCCAUGAGGUGCAGCAAUCAUCGAGUUCAUGACCUUGGCAAGAUUCGGGAUAAGGUGAUUGACGGUUUGAGUUGGUGGACGAUUGUGGAUCGUAUUUUGAGCUGAAUUGAAGACGCAGCGGGAUUAUCGAGCGGGUAAUCCUACAGGACAGGAGAACCAGGACGGUGAUCGUGCGGUUAGAGCAAUUGUUAGAGUUUUACAACAAUUGUAAGUUGUGAGGUGUGUUAUGCUCAUUUGAGCUUUAUAAUAUAUUGUGAGAGUGAAUUGUAAUAA
This is a long non-coding RNA of Rosa rugosa (rugosa rose), 3715 nucleotides long. RefSeq lists it as uncharacterized. The transcript has 3 exons. The record is from RefSeq and is a predicted model, not a curated record. Lineage: Eukaryota; Viridiplantae; Streptophyta; Magnoliopsida; Rosales; Rosaceae.